AGAGAGAGAGAGAGCGAGAGAGAGAGAGAGAGAAGAGAGAGGCGUCGUUGAGAUAACGAUUUGUCGUCGUUUUCUUAACUUUUUUUUUUCUUUUCAAACUUAAUUUCUUCCUUUCGUUUGGGUGGAGAGGAAAGGCGGGAAGGGGACAGAGACACAAACGAAGAGCGUAGACUUAAACUAGAGUAAAAAUGGGUUUCCUUGACAAGUUUUUU
This 212-nucleotide non-coding RNA is filed under the name Chloropicon mariensis. Lineage: Eukaryota; Viridiplantae; Chlorophyta; Chloropicophyceae; Chloropicales; Chloropicaceae. The record is from RNAcentral.